CCGUGGUUUGUAUUCAAUCCUUGUUUAUGAAAACACUUUUCCAACGCCAGUUCGUAACAAAGUGCUCCCGGCUCCUGCUCUGCAGCCGAGGGAGCUGCAGGGAGCGUGGGCGGGUCCGGAGCGGGGCUGGGGUGGCGGCAGGGCUGCCACAGGCCGGGGGUGCUCAGGGCGGGCUCAGCUGCUUCCAGCACGAAGGACGGAGACACCUCGCACGUGUCCUGCAGCAGAGGGGCUGGGACAGCGGGCAGACACCCGUGGGAGCCCAGCGGGCCCGCGGCUUCCCUGCUGCGGGGAGCGCAGGGGCUCCGCAGGGCCGGCUCUGCCCGCCCCGGGGCAGCAGGCACUUGGCUGAGGUAGUUCACGGAGUCAUUCUUGGCCAGCCGGCUACUGGGGAGAGAAGCGGCCGUGAACCGGGAGCGGCGGAAGGCCCCGGGACCGCCGCGGGACCCGCCCCUGCCCUUACCAGGCGCCCGAGGUCGUCGGCGAAGGUGACGCCCUUGCUGAGGCGCUGCUCCUGCGAGCCCGUGCUGCUGCCGCUCAGCGAGUUCCGCCGCAUGAUGCCUGCGGGACAGCGGCAUGAGGAGGGCACGGGGCUGGGCAGCUCAGCCCGCACCCCCUCCCAGCCCGCGGGGAAAGGGCAGCGGGGCUGGCACCUGCGGGCGGCGCCAGCUCCAGGCGCUGCAGGCUGUUGCGGCGGGACGGGUUGAAGCUGCCCUUGGACAGGCGGCGCUGCCGGCCGGACAGCAUGGCAGCCGGCGAGACGAUGCCCAGCGGUGGCUGCUUCCCCAUCCGCAGGUACAGCUCCUCGAUCUCCUUCUUCUGGGCGCUCUGCAGCAGCUGCACCUCCGCCAGGUGCCUGGGGAGAGGGCAGGAGCUGGCAGCGGGGCCGCGGGGAAGGGACAGCGAGCUCCCACCCGGGUGGGUGGGGAACAUCUGUCUCCUCCCAGGUGCAGCCCAGCCCCGGCUCACUUCUGGCGCAGGUUCUGCAGCUCCUCCCAGAUCUCCUCGU
RNAcentral lists this long non-coding RNA (1009 nucleotides) under Lonchura striata (white-rumped munia). RNAcentral describes it as "domestica (Bengalese finch) lncRNA (ENSLSDG00000006572.1)". Lineage: Eukaryota; Metazoa; Chordata; Aves; Passeriformes; Estrildidae. The record is from RNAcentral.